Chenopodium quinoa (quinoa) is the source of this 528-nucleotide long non-coding RNA. RefSeq lists it as uncharacterized. The record is from RefSeq and is a predicted model, not a curated record. NCBI's taxonomy places the organism in Eukaryota, Viridiplantae, Streptophyta, Magnoliopsida, Caryophyllales, Amaranthaceae. The transcript is spliced from 2 exons.
GGUUUGGUUUCGGUUUGAGGAAAUAAAAAACCGAAAAAAACCGAAAACCGAAAUUUUGGCCCAACAUAAAAAAAACCCUUGGCCCAGCCCAAAUUUACCCUAAGUAUAAAAUCAGAAAAAAAAAAACCCUAAGUCCCUAACCCUCAAUCCCUCAUUCUCUCUCGGUCUCUCCUAGUCUCCUGACUUCCUCUCCUCUAAUCCUCUUGCGAAUUUCUCAGUUUCAUUGCGAAUCCAGAUAGCUCACCUUUUCAGUUUCACUCUCCACCGUUGCCGUUCACCACUUCACCACUUCACCGUUCAGAUUGUUGUAGGGUUCUAUGCUGCUGAGUGCUGACCUGCUGUAAUGAUGUUGCUGCUGCCCUGCUGCUUGUUGCUACUGCUGUUAAACAAUUGUUAAAGUUGUAAUGUUGAACAAUUUUAUUUUUUUUUGGGAUGAGGUGUUGAGCUUUUAUAACUUUGAAUUAUAACUUUGAAGUUUUAGAACUUGUUAAUGUUGUUUAAAUCUCAUUAAGCAUUUAUGCUACUACA